Molecule: ribosomal RNA, 691 nt
Filed under: uncultured bacterium
Lineage: Bacteria
Description: bacterial SSU rRNA
Rfam family: Bacterial small subunit ribosomal RNA
Source: RNAcentral
AACGCUAGCUACAGGCUUAACACAUGCAAGUCGAGGGGCAGCAUUGGAGUAGCAAUACUUCAGAUGGCGACCGGCGCACGGGUGAGCAACACGUAUCCAACCUGCCGCUUACUCGGGGAUAGCCUUUCGAAAGAAAGAUUAAUACCCGAUGGUAUAAAGAGUUCGCAUGUUCUCUUUAUUAAAGAAUUUCGGUAAAGGAUGGGGAUGCGUUCCAUUAGGUUGUUGGUGAGGUAACGGCCCACCAAGCCUUCGAUGGAUAGGGGUUCUGAGAGGAAGGUCCCCCACAUUGGAACUGAGACACGGUCCAAACUCCUACGGGAGGCAGCAGUGAGGAAUAUUGGUCAAUGGGCGGUAGCCUGAACCAGCCAAGUAGCGUGAAGGAUGAAGGCUCUAUGGGUCGUAAACUUCUUUUAUAAGGGAAUAAAGUGAGGGACGUGUCCCUUUUUGUAUGUACCUUAUGAAUAAGGAUCGGCUAACUCCGUGCCAGCAGCCGCGGUAAUACGGAGGAUCCAAGCGUUAUCCGGAUUUAUUGGGUUUAAAGGGAGCGUAGGUUGACAUAUAAGUCAGCUGUGAAAGUUUACGGCUCAACCGUGAAAUUGCAGUUGAUACUGUAUGUCUUGAGUGUACAAGAGGUGGGCGGAAUUCGUGGUGUAGCGGUGAAAUGCUUAGAUAUCACGAAGAACUCCGAUUG